RNAcentral lists this non-coding RNA (30 nucleotides) under Mus musculus (house mouse). The record is from RNAcentral. Lineage: Eukaryota; Metazoa; Chordata; Mammalia; Rodentia; Muridae.
UAUUCCCUGAGAUGCUUAUGAGGUGAAGAG